GCAAGAUUAAAACUCAAAGGAAUAGACGGGGACCCGCACAAGUGGUGGAGCAUGUGGUUUAAUUCGAAGAUACGCGAAGAACCUUACCUAGCCUUGACAUUGAUAGAAUCUUCCAGAGAUGGAGGAGUGCCUUUAGGGGAACUUGAAAACAGGUGCUGCACGGCUGUCGUCAGCUCGUGUCGUGAGAUGUUGGGUUAAGUCCCGCAACGAGCGCAACCCUCGUCACUAGUUACUAACAGUUAGGCUGAGGACUCUAGUGAGACUGCCUUCGUAAGGAGGAGGAAGGUGAGGACGACGUCAAGUCAUCAUGGCCCUUACGGCUAGGGCAACACACGUGCUACAAUGGUUAGGACAGUGAGAAGCGAUACCGCGAGGUGGAGCCAAUCUAUAAACCUAAUCUCAGUUCGGAUUGUAGUCUGCAACUCGACUACAUGAAGCUGGAAUCACUAGUAAUCGUAGAUCAGCUAUGCUACGGUGAAUACGUUCCCGGGUCUUGUACUCACCGCCCGUCACACCAUGGGAGUUGAUUUCACCCGAAGCGGGGAAGCUAAACUGGCUACCCUCCACGGUGGAAUUAGCGACUGGGGUGAA
This 591-nucleotide ribosomal RNA is filed under the name uncultured bacterium. Its description in RNAcentral is "bacterial SSU rRNA". It matches the Rfam family "Bacterial small subunit ribosomal RNA", at positions 888 to 1484 of the family's 1533-position model. The record is from RNAcentral.